GUGCUCACUUUGGAAGCACAUAUACUAAAAUUGGAAUGAUACAGAGAAGAUUAGCAUGGUCCUGUGCAAGGAUGACAUAAAUGUGCUACAAGUAAUGUAUAGAUCU
This 106-nucleotide small nuclear RNA is filed under the name Sciurus vulgaris (Eurasian red squirrel). The record is from RNAcentral. Lineage: Eukaryota; Metazoa; Chordata; Mammalia; Rodentia; Sciuridae.